AUGGGGAAGAGGCUGCCCUCGGGGCCGCAGGCACAACAUCCCUCAUCGGCAGGGCUGCAGAAGCUUGGGAAAAGGAUCUGGGUUCCCCCGAGCCCGUGCCCAGCCCCACGCUGCUGUGCCGCAGCAGGAUCAGAGAACACUAUUAAAAUAAUGUCAUGUUACCUAUCAAUAAUAAAUGACCAGAAUAAAUUCGCUGCUCCGCGCUUAAUAACCCUGCCCGAUUUCCAUUUAAAUAUCUGCAAAGAAACGGGCCCUCAUCCGGAGAGCCUCUCAGAUGGAUGCAAGUGCUGCAUUUUGCAGAGGGAGCCCGGGAGGAACUGGCCCAACUUUUACUGGGAAAAUGCUUUUCUCCUGCCGCAGGACCAAACAGCAGCAGGGGGGGGGGAAGAGAAGCUCGGGAGAGAUGAGAUAAGCCCAGUACCAGCGCUGUGCUCCUGUUUAGAUGCAGCUGAGCGUCUCCAGCCCCAGCUCUCAACCUGCUGCUUGUGCUCCAUAAUGACCGCUGCUGCACAGCCCCGGCUCCCCUGCCCAGCAGCAUUAUCGGCACUUCAUGCCGAGGGACAGGACCUGGGGCUGCGGCCAGGAGAAGUGCAGCAGAGCAGCAGCGAAGCUGUUCUGGGGAUGCUCCCAGCUCACAAGAGGCUGCAGCAGAGCCCCCAGCUGGGAUUUGCAGGUGUUGGCUCCUUAAGGGUGAUGGAGAGCGGUCCCUGGUGUGAAAGGCACAUCUCAGCCACAGGAGCUGGCCCAAAAAAAAAUCAUUUCCACCACUGCAAAGUGGGGCAGGAGCAGUUCCCACUGCAGAGCCCUCAGAACCCCUUGCACCAGCACCAGGCAGGGGUUGGAGCCCCCAGGGAGCUGCACUGCAGCAGCACAGGGGCAGGGCAGGAGGUGCAGCCCCUGGAGACCCCACAGACCUCCCCAACACCAGCAGCCCGAAAUUCUCGGGCAGGGAAGGCCAGGCUCAGCCCAUCCGUCCUGAAACGGGGCAAAUGCAGUGCCUGGGGGCAGCACAGGGGCACAUCCAGAGCCCGUGCCCCCAGCACCACGCACGGACCCCAGCCGGGCACCCUCCCGGCCGUGCAGCCCCGCGUGUCGGCGGCCUCGUUGCGUGCGUUUCGCUUUGCUUUUCAAACAUGCCAAAGCAGACUGCUUCCCUCCCGUCGCUCUCAGAUGUGGUUGAAUUGUUUUAGCCAAAACUUCCCAAAUACAAAGUUUCAACCUAAAGCAGACGCUGCCCACAGAAAGUUUUUUUCCCCCCAAGCUAAGAGCAAAGUUGUAAGCAAUAAAAAAAAAAAACUGGAUUUAAUAAUGGGAAAUAUUCAUUAUUCUUGCACACAGGCCUCUGAAGUCAAACCACCCUUGUAG
This 1365-nucleotide long non-coding RNA is filed under the name Anas platyrhynchos platyrhynchos (common mallard). Its description in RNAcentral is "lncRNA (ENSAPLG00000018114.1)". The record is from RNAcentral. Lineage: Eukaryota; Metazoa; Chordata; Aves; Anseriformes; Anatidae.